GAAGGUCCAGCCUGCCCAGUGACUAAGUUAAACGGCCGCGGUACCCUAACCGUGCAAAGGUAGCGCAAUCACUUGUUCUUUAAAUGAGGACUAGUAUGAACGGCAUCACGAGGGUUACACUGUCUCCCUAUUCCAUUCAGUGAAACUGAUCUUCCCGUGAAGAAGCGGGAAUAUAAAUAUAAGACGAGAAGACCCCAUGGAGCUUUAAACUCAGUGUCAUCUGCCACUUCAAUACCCUCUUAAUUACGCAGACCAUGAUAACUAGUUUUCGGUUGGGGUGACCGCGGAGUAAAACAAAACCUCCACAACGAAAGGAACUAACAACCUAAUCCAAGAGCAACAUCUCUAAGAAUCAACAAAUUGACUUAAUUGAUCCAAUUACUUGAUCAACGAACCAAGUUACCCUGGGGAUAACAGCGCAAUCCAUUUCAAGAGCUCAUAUCGACAAAUGGGUUUACGACCUCGAUGUUGGAUCAGGGUAUCCCAGUGGCGCAGCAGCUACUAACGGUUCGUUUGUUCAACG
This 523-nucleotide ribosomal RNA is filed under the name Microhyla nilphamariensis. RNAcentral describes it as "partial 16S ribosomal RNA". It matches the Rfam family "Bacterial large subunit ribosomal RNA", at positions 1848 to 2586 of the family's 2925-position model. Lineage: Eukaryota; Metazoa; Chordata; Amphibia; Anura; Microhylidae. The record is from RNAcentral.